GCCGGCCGCAGCCGCACGGCCGAUCCCGAUCGCUUUUCAUUUGUUUCGCUGUUUUUUGUUCCUCCUUAGCCCUCCAUGCUCCGCAUUCACUGCUGCGGCCCAUCAUCGCCGUUCAUGUGUUUUUUUUCUCCUUGUUUUUGCGGCAUUUUCAGUUUUCCUGUUCCAUUCCGCCUUUGUUAUUGGUGCAGCAUUGCUUUUUCCUUCAGUGCGCCGUUGCUGUUGCUCGCGCUUUUGUUUUCCGGCGUUUGCUUUGGGAAGAAGGAGUAAUAAAGUGGAAGUCGUUGGACAGAAUCUAGAUUGCGAAAAUUUUUGGCGUAGGAAUCAAAGAAGCAACGGUCACUGCUCGUGAAGAUUCCCAAAGAGACAAGGUUGGAGGUUAAGUCAGGCUCCAGUUGAUGGCAAUUCAUCUUCGAACAUUCGUAACACUGGACAUAUAGACGUAUAUAAACAUGCGCAUGUGAACAACGUAUUGAUACAUAUGAGGAAAUGCAGAGGAAAAAAGAAAGAUUGUGUUUGGAAACCAGCUAAGGAUACCCCAUUGAAGUAAUGACUCCCUG
RNAcentral lists this long non-coding RNA (557 nucleotides) under Hermetia illucens (black soldier fly). RNAcentral's name for it is "uncharacterized LOC119657662, transcript variant X1". Lineage: Eukaryota; Metazoa; Arthropoda; Insecta; Diptera; Stratiomyidae. The record is from RNAcentral.